AAACUAACUAGGAUGCCUUCAGUAACGGCGAGCGAAGCAGGCAUAGCUCAAAUUUGUAAUCUGGCGUCUUUGACGUCCGAGUUGUAUUUUCUAGAAGCGAGUUCGGCGACAGCUCCUACCCAAGUCCGUUGGAACGCGGCGUCAUGGAGGGUGAGAAUCCCGUGAAUGGUAGGAUGUCUGCUGCUAUGUGAACCGCCUUCGAAGAGUCGAGUUGUUUGGGAAUGCAGCUCUAAAUGGGAGGUAAAUUUCUUCUAAAGCUAAAUAUUGGCCAGAGACCGAUAGCGAACAAGUAGAGUGAUCGAAAGAUGAAAAGAACUUUGAAAAGAGAGUUAAACAGUACGUGAAAUUGUUGAAAGGGAAGCGCUUGAGAUCAGACUUCCUGUCUGGACUGUCCUUGCUUCUGCAUGGGUCAACAGUCCAGGCGUGGAGGCCAGCAUCAGUUUUGACGGCCGGAUAAAGGCCUUGGGAAGGUAGCUCCUCUCGGGGAGUGUUAUAGCCCAGGGUGUAAUACGGCCAGUUGGGACUGAGGACCGCGGCUUUGCCUAGGAUGCUGGCGUAAUGGUCUUAAGCGAC
Molecule: ribosomal RNA, 573 nt
Filed under: Taphrina dearnessii
Lineage: Eukaryota; Fungi; Ascomycota; Taphrinomycetes; Taphrinales; Taphrinaceae
Description: eukaryotic LSU rRNA
Rfam family: Eukaryotic large subunit ribosomal RNA
Source: RNAcentral